Actinia tenebrosa (Australian red waratah sea anemone) is the source of this 664-nucleotide long non-coding RNA. NCBI's taxonomy places the organism in Eukaryota, Metazoa, Cnidaria, Anthozoa, Actiniaria, Actiniidae. The record is from RefSeq and is a predicted model, not a curated record.
UCCAAGAAACGUGCCUGUCAGUUUGCUCGCGUACAGCUUGGCUCUUUAAAUAAUCGACAAAGAUCUAUCGUAAAGAGCUGCAAUCCCGUAGAAGCCAGUAGACCUAGUAGAGUUGGUUCUAAAGGAAUGUUUUAAUUAAGGGAAUUCGUCAAAGCCUGUUUUGUGGUCAAGUUGAAGCUCAAUAUAGAUAGGCAAUUCCGAUCCUGGUACUAAAAGUAUUGGUGAGUUCUGUGAAUAUAAAACCAUCCAAAAAAACAAGAGUCAUCAUUUGCUUGGAAACUCAAUAUGUCAAGACCAGUAACAUUUCAUGUUACCAUCAAGUUGUUUCUUCUCCUAGUCAGUAGCGUGACACUAUCAAAUGGCAAAACAGGCCUCAGUUUAAACAAUUGUUCCUGUUUUAUGUCUGGACAAUACUACAAUCUCAAGUCACUAGCACGUCUGCACGGUGGGCCAAGAUUUCAGAGUGAAAAGAAUAACUGGAAUUAUGCUUAUAAUCCAUGCAUACCAUUCUCCAUUGAACCUCCCUGUGAAGACGUGGCGGUAAAGUUAAAACUACAUUCGCUUUUCCGAACUUCAGGAAGUCUGGUAACGAUCUUGUAAUGUAUGGGACCGUGGAGCUGAAUUUUGAGACCCAAAAUGGGGGAGUAUAUGAGUACUAAUUCCA